Molecule: ribosomal RNA, 492 nt
Filed under: uncultured bacterium
Lineage: Bacteria
Description: partial 16S ribosomal RNA
Rfam family: Bacterial small subunit ribosomal RNA
Source: RNAcentral
AGUGAACGCUGGCGGUAGGCCUAACACAUGCCAGUCGAACGGCAGCACAGUAAGAGCUUGCUCUUACGGGUGGCGAGUGGCGGACGGGUGAGGAAUACAUCGGAAUCUACUUUUUCGUGGGGGAUAACGUAGGGAAACUUACGCUAAUACCGCAUACGACCUACGGGUGAAAGCAGGGGAUCUUCGGACCUUGCGCGAUUGAAUGAGCCGAUGUCGGAUUAGCUAGUUGGCGGGGUAAAGGCCCACCAAGGCGACGAUCCGUAGCUGGUCUGAGAGGAUGCUCAGCCACACUGGAACUGAGACACGGUCCAGACUCCUACGGGAGGCAGCAGUGGGGAAUAUUGGACAAUGGGCGCAAGCCUGAUCCAGCCAUACCGCGUGGGUGAAGAAGGCCUUCGGGUUGUAAAGCCCUUUUGUUGGGAAAGAAAAGCAGCAGGUUAAUACCCCGCUGUUCUGACGGUACCCAAAGAAUAAGCACCGGCUAACUUCGUG